This 253-nucleotide ribosomal RNA is filed under the name uncultured bacterium. Its description in RNAcentral is "partial 16S ribosomal RNA". It matches the Rfam family "Bacterial small subunit ribosomal RNA", at positions 524 to 776 of the family's 1533-position model. The record is from RNAcentral.
UACGGGGAUGGCGAGCGUUACUCGGAUUUAUUGGGUGUAAAGGGCAGGUAGGUGGCUAUGUAAGUUGUUGGUGAAAUCCUUUGACUCAAUCAAAGAACUGCCUUCAAAACUGCAUAGCUUGAGGCUGAAAGAGGAGAGCGGAAUUCCCGGUGUAAGGGUGAAAUCUGUAGAUAUCGGGAGGAACACCUGUGGCGAAAGCGGCUCUCUGGUUCAGUUCUGACACUCAACUGCGAAAGCUAGGGGAGCAAACAGG